UUCAGUGCCAUCCCUGAUCACGUCUUGGACCCUCCUUGUGCUUGUAUCUACAAAGGAAACCAGAGAAAGGAGGGGAAUGCAUGACCAGCAAAGAACCAGUAUGGGCUAUAACUGGUACAGACAGAGAAGCAAGGCUGAGGCAUGAGAGUGACCAGCGCAGGAAGGUACUACUCUGCACAAACACUGCCCUGGACAGAAAGAAUCAAGAAAAGAAAAUCAAAA
Pseudopipra pipra is the source of this 222-nucleotide long non-coding RNA. RefSeq lists it as uncharacterized. Lineage: Eukaryota; Metazoa; Chordata; Aves; Passeriformes; Pipridae. The transcript has 2 exons. The record is from RefSeq and is a predicted model, not a curated record.